GCGCGAAAACUUUACAAUGCGGGAAACCGUGAUAAGGGAACUCCGAGUGCCCGUAAAAUCGGGCUGUCCAUCAGUUUAAAUAACUGGUGAAGAAAGGGCCGGGCAAGACCGGUGCCAGCCGCCGCGGUAAUACCGGCGGCUCGAGUGGUGGCCACUAUUACUGGGCUUAAAGCGUUCGUAGCUGGUCUGUUAAGUCUCUGGGGAAAUCUGCCGGCUUAACCGGGCAGGCGUUUCAGGGAUACUGGCAGACUAGGGACCGGGAGAGGUGAGAGGUACUCCAGGGGUAGGAGUGAAAUCCUGUAAUCCUUGGGGGACCACCUGUGGCGAAGGCGUCUCACCAGAACGGCUCCGACAGUGAGGGACGAAAGCUGGGGGGAGCGAAACCGGAUUAGAUACCCGGGUAGUCCCAGCUGUAAACGAUGCGCGUUAGGUGUAUCGGUGACCACGAGUCACCGAGGUGCCGAAGAGAAAUCGUGAAACGUGCCGCCUGGGAAGUACGGGUCGCAAGGCUAGGAAACUUAAAGGAAUUGGGCGGGGGAGCGACCACAACAGGUGGAGCCGU
This 562-nucleotide ribosomal RNA is filed under the name uncultured Methanomicrobiales archaeon. RNAcentral describes it as "bacterial SSU rRNA". It matches the Rfam family "Archaeal small subunit ribosomal RNA", at positions 339 to 897 of the family's 1478-position model. The record is from RNAcentral. Lineage: Archaea; Methanobacteriati; Methanobacteriota; Methanomicrobia; Methanomicrobiales.